This is a long non-coding RNA of Bacillus rossius redtenbacheri, 1786 nucleotides long. RefSeq lists it as uncharacterized. The transcript has 2 exons. The record is from RefSeq and is a predicted model, not a curated record. NCBI's taxonomy places the organism in Eukaryota, Metazoa, Arthropoda, Insecta, Phasmatodea, Bacillidae.
AGCAAUGUAGAAAUGCAUGAGCUGACUUGGAUACCUAUUAAAGAAAAUGGGCUAGCCUCUGUGCAUAAUGCCGCAUAUGUUCCGACCAUUUAAAGAUCCGUAUGUUACGCAUACGUUCCGACCAAGAUGUCGUCAUAAGGGUUGUUUAGGGGUGCUGUACCAACACAAGAUGCUUCAUGGAUCAAAUGGCCACACCAACAAGCAAAACAGUCCAAAAAAAAAAAGUUCUCUCCUAAUCCAGAAAUGCAGUGUUCAUCCACUGAUAAUCAUUCCCAUCAACACAAUCUGUAGUAAAUUUUGAAAGUUACUCAUUGGAUAUAACCGGGAAAAAUUCACUAAAGAAUGAUUUUUUGUCUCCUCAUUUAAUAUUGUGUUGUGCUGAAAGUUGCAUGGAUAUAUUCCAAAUGGUUUACUAAUAGUUUACCUUUUUAAAUAUUGGUGAUGUUAGAUUAGCAACAUUAUAAAUAUUAUUAAAGUGUGGUGGUUAGUCAGGUAAACUUAUUUAAAAAUUACAGUAAAAUCACAAAUGGUACGAAAGUUACAUUAGGAAUACUGUAAAAUAUCAUUGACAGUAAGUUAGAGACAUUUAAAAUAGGUAACUUCUAACCAACCAUGUGGAUUAAAAUGUGCAUUUUUACAGCUUUUAUUUAUGCCACACAUUUUUACUAUGUAUACAGCUCGUGUUUGAGAAUUUUAUUUUUAUUGCUUGAUAUGAAUUUAUCUUGAUAUCAGUAUAAAGUUACAAAUUUAUUGCCAAUAGACCAUUUAUAAUUAUAACCACAAUAGCAUUUACAAACUUGUUUUUUUAUUUUUUAUUUUAUUUGGGGUCUGAAAAAUUUUAAAGUAAAGCACUUGUAUGUAUUGUCUGACGUUACUACAUGGAUGAAAUGCUCCUAUACUUCAACAUUGUUCUAUAGCUUGGGAAGGUUCUAGAUUACUCAAACAAAGAAAUGGGGAAUCUUGGUAGGCAGUUCAUGUUCGAAAAUGUUUUAACUCGCAGGCAACAUUUCAACUAAUUUUGCUGAUUAACGCACUUUCAUUAUAACUAUCAGUAGUAUAGCAGCUAACCAGUCACAUUGCAAUGCACUGAGCAGAACCCAAGAAAUUUGAGAAAAACAUUAUGCGUGCGGAACUAUGGUUAGUAUAUACUACUAAGCUUUUGGCUUUCAGGUAUUGCAUGCUAUCUUAUCCAGCAUAACCUAUUUUUUAAAAAAAUCAACUUCAUUAGUUCUAAUGUACUAGUUUAUCAUUAAGUUUUGUAUUAAGACUGACUGUAACAACUCAAUUUCCUGCAUAUUUUUAUGUCCUUAAGUCAUAUCAUUUAUUCUAAAGUUGUUUGUCCCAAUUUUAGACAAAGUUAUCUUAGCAAAUAUGAUGGAAUGUAUUAUGUAUUAUUAGGCCAAAUUAUUUUAGUAUACAAAUGAUGGAACUCUCGCAAGUGCCACCAGCAAUUCCAUGUCACACCUGAUGUCUUGACAAUGUUGUGGGAUGAUAAAAAAAAACCUGUACAGCUGCUAAAUAAAGGAAUUAAAUUAUGCAUUCUGAAGGCAAGGUAUCCAAUUUAUCAGUUAAUAUGAUUCCAUCAAAACUUAUUGGGCAAAAAAAUUUAUAACAUUAGCCAAUAAACAGAAACAGCAUCAGACCCCGAUCAAAAUCAUCAGAGGUCCCUUAUCUAUACCCUGUAGGAAACCCCUUUCCCAUUAAUACUUGAAUUCAGCAUGAAAACUUUAGCAAGGUACAUCUGUUGUUACUCCUUUGUGCUCGACAAUAAAUUAAUGUGUUGUAA